RNAcentral lists this ribosomal RNA (336 nucleotides) under uncultured Bacillota bacterium. RNAcentral describes it as "bacterial SSU rRNA". It matches the Rfam family "Bacterial small subunit ribosomal RNA", at positions 28 to 351 of the family's 1533-position model. Lineage: Bacteria; Bacillati; Bacillota. The record is from RNAcentral.
GACGAACGCUGGCGGCGUGCCUAAUACAUGCAAGUCGAGCGAAUUUACGAGAGCUUGCUCUCGUAAAUUAGCGGCGGACGGGUGAGUAACACGUGGGUAACCUGCCUGUAAGACUGGGAUAACUUCGGGAAACCGGAGCUAAUACCGGAUAGUUUCUUUUCUCGCAUGAGAAGAGAUGGAAAAGAUGGGUUUUCGGCUAUCACUUACAGAUGGACCCGCGGCGCAUUAGCUAGUUGGUGAGGUAAUGGCUCACCAAGGCGACGAUGCGUAGCCGACCUGAGAGGGUGAUCGGCCACACUGGGACUGAGACACGGCCCAGACUCCUACGGGAGGCUG